UGGCGGCGUGGAUAAGACAUGCAAGUCGAGCGAGGCUCCAAGUCUCGAGUGGCGAACGGGUGAGUAACACGUGAGCAACCUGCCCGGAAAUGGGGGAUAGCCCGAGGAAACUCGGAUUAAUACCGCGUAUGAUCUGGCACGGCAUCGUGCUAAGAUUAAAGGUGGCUUCGGCUGCCGUUUCCGGAUGGGCUCGCGGCCUAUCAGCUUGAUGGCGGGGUAACGGCCCACCAUGGCAACGACGGGUAGCUGGUCUGAGAGGAUGAUCAGUCACACUGGAACUGAGACACGGUCCAGACACCUACGGGUGGCAGCAGUCGAGAAUCAUUCACAAUGGGCGAAAGCCUGAUGGUGCGACGCCGCGUGGAGGAUGACGGUCUUAGGAUUGUAAACUCCUGUCAUCAGGGAGUAAAGCUCUGGCGUUAAGAGCACCGUGGGGCUUGAUAGUAUCUGAAGAGGAAGGGACGGCUAACUUCGUGCCAGCAGCCGCGGUAAUACGAAGGUCCCAAGCGUUGUUCGGAAUCACUGGGCGUAAAGCGUGCGUAGGCGGCUUGGUAAGUCAGAUGUGAAAGCCCAGGGCUCAACCUUGGAACUGCAUCCGAUACUGCCUUACUUGAGUAAUGGAGGGGCAUCUGGAAUUCACGGUGUAGCAGUGAAAUGCGUAGAUAUCGUGAGGAACACUAGUGGCGAAGGCGAGAUGCUGGACAUUUACUGACGCUGAGGUACGAAGGCCAGGGUAGCGAAAAGGAUUAGAUACCCUUGUAGUCCUGGCAGUAAACGGUGCUCGCUUGGUGUGGGGAGGUUCGACCCUCUCCGUGCCGGAGCUAACGCGUUAAGCGAGCCGCCUGGGGAGUACGGCCGCAAGGCUAAAACUCAAAGAAAUUGACGGGGACCCGCACAAGCGGUGGAGUAUGUGGCUUAAUUCGAUGCAACGCGAAGAACCUUACCUAGGCUUGACAUGCUAAUCGUAUCCCUAUGAAAGUGGGGGAGUCAGUUCGGCUGGAUAUGCACAGGUGCUGCAUGGCUGUCGUCAGCUCGUGUCGUGAGAUGUUGGGUUAAGUCCCGCAACGAGCGCAACCCUUGUGUCCUGUUGCCAGCGAGUAAUGUCGGGGACUCUGGACAGACUGCCGGUGCUUAAACCGGAGGAAGGUGGGGAUGCGUCAAGUCAGUAUGGCCCUUACGCCCAGGGCUGCACACGUACUACAAUGCCCAGCACAAUGUGAACCGAUGCCGCAAGGCGGAGGAAAUCCUGAAAACUGGGCUCAGUUCGGAUUGGAGGCUGCAACUCGCCUCCAUGAAGUCGGAAUCGCUAGUAAUGCCGUAUCAGCUACGACGGCGUGAAUACGUUCCCGGGUCUUGUACACACCGCCCGUCACAUCAUGGAAGCCGAUCACACCCGAAGUGCGUGCGCUAAACUUGUUAGGCAAUGCCCUAAGGUGAGGCUGGUAACUGGGAUGAAGUCGUAACAAGGUAACCGUA
RNAcentral lists this ribosomal RNA (1476 nucleotides) under uncultured prokaryote. RNAcentral describes it as "partial 16S ribosomal RNA". It matches the Rfam family "Bacterial small subunit ribosomal RNA". The record is from RNAcentral.